UAGGGAAUCUUCGGCAAUGGGGGCAACCCUGACCGAGCAACGCCGCGUGAGUGAAGAAGGUUUUCGGAUCGUAAAACUCUGUUGUUAGAGAAGAACGUUAAGUAGAGUGGAAAGUUACUUAAGCGACGGUAUCUAACCAGAAAGGGACGGCUAACUACGUG
RNAcentral lists this ribosomal RNA (161 nucleotides) under uncultured bacterium. Its description in RNAcentral is "partial 16S ribosomal RNA". It matches the Rfam family "Bacterial small subunit ribosomal RNA", at positions 355 to 507 of the family's 1533-position model. The record is from RNAcentral.